Molecule: long non-coding RNA, 255 nt
Filed under: Nicotiana benthamiana
Lineage: Eukaryota; Viridiplantae; Streptophyta; Magnoliopsida; Solanales; Solanaceae
Description: long non-coding RNA (NBEN_LNC018258)
Source: RNAcentral
CACCAUUAUCAUCGGCAAAAAACUCCAAGUUCUGCCUUAAACUCUUAUAAAAAAACCCAUAUAUCAAACUAAACUUUUAACGCAAGGCUUACGCCAUCUAUGGAUGGGCCUCAAUAACUUUUUCUUUUUUUAUGAGUACGACGUUGCAUAUAGUUUCGUCUCUUUUUGAAUCUGAAUUACCUUAAACCCUCGCCUAAACCUCUGGUUCCUCAAAUCAAUUACAGAAAAAGGAAAAAAAUGUCAUUUUUACUAUUA